This 478-nucleotide ribosomal RNA is filed under the name uncultured bacterium. RNAcentral's name for it is "partial 16S ribosomal RNA". It matches the Rfam family "Bacterial small subunit ribosomal RNA", at positions 28 to 523 of the family's 1533-position model. The record is from RNAcentral.
GACGAACGCUGGCGGCGUGCUUAACACAUGCAAGUCGAACGGUAAGGCCCUUCGGGGUACACGAGUGGCGAACGGGUGAGUAACACGUGGGUGAUCUGCCCUGCACUUCGGGAUAAGCCUGGGAAACUGGGUCUAAUACCGGAUAGGACCACUGCCUGCAUGGGCGGUGGUGGAAGGCUUUUGCGGUGUGGGAUGGGCCCGCGGCCUAUCAGCUUGUUGGUGGGGUGAUGGCCUACCAAGGCGACGACGGGUAGCCGGCCUGAGAGGGUGACCGGCCACACUGGGACUGAGAUACGGCCCAGACUCCUACGGGAGGCAGCAGUGGGGAAUAUUGCACAAUGGGCGCAAGCCUGAUGCAGCGACGCCGCGUGGGGGAUGACGGCCUUCGGGUUGUAAACCUCUUUCAGCACCGACGAAGCGCAAGUGACGGUAGGUGCAGAAGAAGGACCGGCCAACUACGUGCCAGCCGCCGCCGUAA